GACGAACGCUGGCGGCGUGCUUAACACAUGCAAGUCGAGCGGAAAGGCCCUUUCGGGGGUACUCGAGCGGCGAACGGGUGAGUAACACGUGAGUAAUCUGCCCCUGGCUUUGGGAUAGCCACCGGAAACGGUGAUUAAUACCGGAUACGACCACUUCUCGCAUGGGAUGGUGGUGGAAAGUUUUUCGGCCAGGGAUGUGCUCGCGACCUAUCAGCUUGAUGGUGAGGUAAUGGCUCACCAUGGCUUCGACGGGUAGCCGGCCUGGGAGGGUGACCGGUCACACGGGGACUGAGACACGGACCAGACUCCUACGGGAGGCAGCAGUGGGGAAUAUUGGACAAUGGGCGGAAGCCUGAUCCAGCAACGCCGCGUGAGGGAUGACGGCCUUCGGGUUGUAAACCUCUUUCAGCAGGGACGAAGCGCAAGUGACGGUACCUGCAGAAGAAGCACCGGCCAACUACGUGCCAGCAGCCGCCGUAA
Molecule: ribosomal RNA, 480 nt
Filed under: uncultured bacterium
Lineage: Bacteria
Description: partial 16S ribosomal RNA
Rfam family: Bacterial small subunit ribosomal RNA
Source: RNAcentral